This is a long non-coding RNA of Leptopilina boulardi, 326 nucleotides long. RefSeq lists it as uncharacterized. The transcript has 3 exons. The record is from RefSeq and is a predicted model, not a curated record. Lineage: Eukaryota; Metazoa; Arthropoda; Insecta; Hymenoptera; Figitidae.
GAGAAUUACCGAAAUGUCCAUCUAAUUCCUGAUGUAUUUUCUCUUGAACUUCGGGAUUAUUACCAAGAUUGAAUAUCGCCCAGUUUAUUGCAGCGGCCGUGGUAUCGUGGCCCUUUUUAAGGAAAAUAUUAACAGAUUUCAAAGUAAAUUAAUCCUUGUCAAACCAUCGAGGUUCAAUUACAUUACAUUUAAUCGGAGGUUUUGGAAUUGGAACUAUUGAAGAUAAAGUAACCUGCAAAUUUUCUGGCAUUGGAAGAAGCUACAUGAUAAGAAUUAACUCCGGCAGGAACACUAAAAUUUCCAUCGAUAAAGGAUUUUUUUUUACG